Molecule: long non-coding RNA, 1863 nt
Organism: Choloepus didactylus (southern two-toed sloth)
Lineage: Eukaryota; Metazoa; Chordata; Mammalia; Pilosa; Megalonychidae
Exons: 3
Source: RefSeq, a predicted model, not a curated record
UGGAGCACUCUGUUCCGUGGCAAAACGCCGUGGAAAAGGUGUCCUCAGAGCCCACACUGGGAGCCCCACGCUGGAGCCUGACCCAGGGCUCUGUGCUUCAGGCCGCCCUCACCAACUACAUGUCACUAAAAGAAGGUUACAGGCCAUAAACUGAACACUCAGUACAUUACUCAUCUGCCCGGUGUACACACCCACAAGUUCGCUGGAGGAGCCAUCAGCAGGAGCACUGCAACAAGCUCCUCAAAACUACAGCUGCCUCCAUCCUAGAAUUCAUAAAUUAACACGGAUUUUAAUUAAACACUAGAAGAGAAGCAAGAUGAAGAUUCUUGAAUCAGCUGGCUUUGUUGGCUCAGAAAGAAACACCGGGAGCCUCAAGUUCUUGUAUAAGAAAUGGGCGGGCACCCUUUUAAUUUCUAUUUGAAAACUAUUAAAUUCAAAAUUAAGUGAAUGCCUCUAAUGUGCACAUACUUAAGAAUAAGCAAAGAGAAAGUAAGUAUUAAUGUCCAUGAAUACUCAAAAUGGCUAUUCCAGUCACUCAGCAUUCAAAAUACACAAGCAUCUGGGAGCUUAAGGUUCUACUGAAUGCUACCAAGAAUAUUAGUAAUUUUCCUUUCCAAAGCUGUUACGACAACACUUUAAAAUUUCAAGAAUGACUCAUCGCUCUACAUGAGAAAGUUUAUAUAAGAACUGUGGGAGCAAAAAAAAAGACCCAGGAUGAAUUACACAGAGGUCUUUUGAAAGCUAACUGCGAAAUUAAAGGUCAUGUUACUAUCUCGGAGGCUUAAGUGCCCUUCCUUUGGAAGAGGAAGUUAUGGAAGUAGGUCUUCACCUCCUCAGUGGGGACCUACAAAUUGUUCUCAGAGAUGCCACAAAGGGCUGGAGAGGAGAGAAUGCACUAGGGAAGUCAAGCUGAGGUUCCCCAGGGAUUUCAAUGAUUAUCCCAACCUUGUGAAAAGUGCCUGGUUGACUCUGUAGACCAAGAAAUGGAGAAACCAAAACUUUCCUUCCAGUCUCACUAUCAGCUCUUUGCCAGGACCACAGCUUAAAAUAACCCAGCCACAUUUUCUUCAGUGACUCAAUCCAGUCCCUCAAGGGUCUCAAUGAAGUAGGAGCUGAAACUCGGAAAGAGCAGCUUAUUUAUUUGCAAGUGCCCAUUCACAUAGAUUCUUGCUCUCUUUUUGCUUGUGCUAACAAGAUAACAUCCCAGACUCCAUACAUUUUUGACUUGACACCCCACAGUCAAUGGGCUUGCAUCCCAAAUAUGAAUUUUUAAUUUGUAAAAUAUAUGCAUGUAACAAUACACUAUAUUAUGCAUAUUAUACAACAUGAAUAGAAAUAGGAAAUUUAAAAGAUUAAGAAAAAUAAAUAUAAACAGAUCUUCUAAUACAUCUUCAAAUACUGGCUUACACACUCCUGUGGAUUUGACCUGUGAGCUAUAAUUUGCUGAUCCCUGUUAUAGAUCCUAAAAAUCUCAGCCUUGCUAUAGAUACCUGCUCCUAGACUAGGAUCUUCGAAGAUCUCAGCUCACAUUCCAGACUUCUCUAGAUACAAGGGUACUUUUUGGGUUUGGAAUUUAGCUUUGGGCUGUUUCCCAAUUAGGUGUCAACUAGAACUGAAAGAAAUUAAAUAUGGCUAGACUCAGGAGUGGGUUAAGACUUGGAGGCUGUAGAUGUGAGACCUUACAGUAGCUUGAACAAGAAGAGUGUGAAUUAACAUGUGCUGUAAGUGUAGAAUACACAUCAGAUUUCUAAGACUCAGAACAAAAAAAAAUGUAAGAGAUUUCAUUAACUUUUUUAUAUCUCUUACAUGUUGAAAUAGUAUUUUGGCCAUAUUGGGUUGAAUAAAAUACAUUAUUAAAAUUAA